This 865-nucleotide ribosomal RNA is filed under the name Bacillus pumilus. Its description in RNAcentral is "bacterial SSU rRNA". It matches the Rfam family "Bacterial small subunit ribosomal RNA", at positions 8 to 856 of the family's 1533-position model. The record is from RNAcentral. Lineage: Bacteria; Bacillati; Bacillota; Bacilli; Caryophanales; Bacillaceae.
AGAGUUUGAUCCUGGCUCACGACGAACGCUGGCGGCGUGCCUAAUACAUGCAAGUCGAGCGGACAGAAGGGAGCUUGCUCCCGGAUGUUAGCGGCGGACGGGUGAGUAACACGUGGGUAACCUGCCUGUAAGACUGGGAUAACUCCGGGAAACCGGAGCUAAUACCGGAUAGUUCCUUGAACCGCAUGGCUCAAGGAUGAAAGACGGUUUCGGCUGUCACUUACAGAUGGACCCGCGGCGCAUUGCUAGUUGGUGAGGUAACGGCUCACCAAGGCGACGAUGCGUAGCCGACCUGAGAGGGUGAUCGGCCACACUGGGACUGAGACACGGCCCAGACUCCUACGGGAGGCAGCAGUAGGGAAUCUUCCGCAAUGGACGAAAGUCUGACGGAGCAACGCCGCGUGAGUGAUGAAGGUUUUCGGAUCGUAAAGCUCUGUUGUUAGGGAAGAACAAGUGCAAGAGUAACUGCUUGCACCUUGACGGUACCUAACCAGAAAGCCACGGCUAACUACGUGCCAGCAGCCGCGGUAAUACGUAGGUGGCAAGCGUUGUCCGGAAUUAUUGGGCGUAAAGGGCUCGCAGGCGGUUUCUUAAGUCUGAUGUGAAAGCCCCCGGCUCAACCGGGGAGGGUCAUUGGAAACUGGGAAACUUGAGUGCAGAAGAGGAGAGUGGAAUUCCACGUGUAGCGGUGAAAUGCGUAGAGAUGUGGAGGAACACCAGUGGCGAAGGCGACUCUCUGGUCUGUAACUGACGCUGAGGAGCGAAAGCGUGGGGAGCGAACAGGAUUAGAUACCCUGGUAGUCCACGCCGUAAACGAUGAGUGCUAAGUGUUAGGGGGUUUCCGCCCCUUAGUGCUGCAGCUAAC